Non-coding RNA from Zootermopsis nevadensis, 420 nucleotides. The record is from RefSeq and is a predicted model, not a curated record. NCBI's taxonomy places the organism in Eukaryota, Metazoa, Arthropoda, Insecta, Blattodea, Termopsidae.
CAGAUAGGCAUACAGUUGUUAAGAACAUCACCGGGUAGGAUUUGAGGUUCUCACAGUGGUGAGUAGGAAGAUGUCUGUCUUCUGGGUUGUAGCGUCUUGUAAUCUGGUAGAAGAUUACCAACGUUUCGGAUGUCGUUGCUGCCACCAUCAUCAGGGCGAUGAGUGGGGAUAACUAGUGAUUAUGAAGACUUCGGCUAUGCUAUGGGUUUGGCACUUACUUUAUCGUGAUCACCUGAGGUCUGUUACGUUGCAAGUUGCUUCAUUAGCCAGGUAUGUUAUCGUUAUCAUCAAGGACUGACGAAAAGUGUUCCUGCCGUCGAGGAAGGGUCAGAAACUGAUUACUGGACUGGAUUCAGACUGGACUUUUUCAAAUGCGAAUAACCGUCUUUUACCUCUAAUUAAAUUUGUUUUUAAAUAGUA